AAAAAGGCAAAUCCUGGAUUUCCGUGUCCAACUUUAACUGUCCGUCUUAUAUGAAUUUUUUUUUUAUAAUUCGUAUUUUCAUUGUUGUUAGAUGAUAAAACAUGAUUAAUAUUUUAUACGUGACUUGUCUUUUUAAAUUUUUUCAUAAUUUUUUCAAAUAAGACGGACGGUCAAACGUUGGGCAUGGAAAUCAGGGUUUGUCUUUUU
Non-coding RNA from Oryza nivara, 207 nucleotides. The record is from Rfam. NCBI's taxonomy places the organism in Eukaryota, Viridiplantae, Streptophyta, Magnoliopsida, Poales, Poaceae.